UACGGGGGGGGCAAGCGUUGUUCGGAAUUACUGGGCGUAAAGCGCACGUAGGCGGCUUUGUAAGUUAGAGGUGAAAGCCCGGAGCUCAACUCCGGAACUGCCUUUAAGACUGCAUCGCUUGAACGUCGGAGAGGUAAGUGGAAUUCCGAGUGUAGAGGUGAAAUUCGUAGAUAUUCGGAAGAACACCAGUGGCGAAGGCGACUUACUGGACGACUGUUGACGCUGAGGUGCGAAAGCGUGGGGAGCAAACAGG
Molecule: ribosomal RNA, 253 nt
Filed under: uncultured bacterium
Lineage: Bacteria
Description: partial 16S ribosomal RNA
Rfam family: Bacterial small subunit ribosomal RNA
Source: RNAcentral